RNAcentral lists this ribosomal RNA (282 nucleotides) under Escherichia coli. RNAcentral describes it as "partial 23S ribosomal RNA". It matches the Rfam family "Bacterial large subunit ribosomal RNA", at positions 2667 to 2925 of the family's 2925-position model. RNAcentral also lists the same sequence under 1 other name. The record is from RNAcentral. Lineage: Bacteria; Pseudomonadati; Pseudomonadota; Gammaproteobacteria; Enterobacterales; Enterobacteriaceae.
GGGGGCUGCUCCUAGUACGAGAGGACCGGAGUGGACGCAUCACUGGUGUUCGGGUUGUCAUGCCAAUGGCACUGCCCGGUAGCUAAAUGCGGAAGAGAUAAGUGCUGAAAGCAUCUAAGCACGAAACUUGCCCCGAGAUGAGUUCUCCCUGACUCCUUGAGAGUCCUGAAGGAACGUUGAAGACGACGACGUUGAUAGGCCGGGUGUGUAAGCGCAGCGAUGCGUUGAGCUAACCGGUACUAAUGAACCGUGAGGCUUAACCUUACAACGCCGAAGGUGUUU